This 676-nucleotide ribosomal RNA is filed under the name Niallia circulans. RNAcentral describes it as "bacterial SSU rRNA". It matches the Rfam family "Bacterial small subunit ribosomal RNA", at positions 119 to 780 of the family's 1533-position model. Lineage: Bacteria; Bacillati; Bacillota; Bacilli; Caryophanales; Bacillaceae. The record is from RNAcentral.
GGGCAACCUGCCUGUAAGACUGGGAUAACUUCGGGAAACCGGAGCUAAUACCGGAUAAUCCUUUUCUACUCAUGUAGAAAAGCUGAAAGACGGUUUACGCUGUCACUUACAGAUGGGCCCGCGGCGCAUUAGCUAGUUGGUGAGGUAACGGCUCACCAAGGCGACGAUGCGUAGCCGACCUGAGAGGGUGAUCGGCCACACUGGGACUGAGACACGGCCCAGACUCCUACGGGAGGCAGCAGUAGGGAAUCUUCCGCAAUGGACGAAAGUCUACGGAGCAACGCCGCGUGAGUGAUGAAGGUUUUCGGAUCGUAAAACUCUGUUGUUAGGGAAGAACAAGUACGAGAGUAACUGCUCGUACCUUGACGGUACCUAACCAGAAAGCCACGGCUAACUACGUGCCAGCAGCCGCGGUAAUACGUAGGUGGCAAGCGUUGUCCGGAAUUAUUGGGCGUAAAGCGCGCGCAGGCGGUCCUUUAAGUCUGAUGUGAAAGCCCACGGCUCAACCGUGGAGGGUCAUUGGAAACUGGGGGACUUGAGUGCAGAAGAGAAGAGUGGAAUUCCACGUGUAGCGGUGAAAUGCGUAGAGAUGUGGAGGAACACCAGUGGCGAAGGCGACUACUUAUGGUCUGUAACUGACGCUGAGGCGCGAAAGCGUGGGGAGCAAACAGGAUUA